GGGGUGUUAAGUUAAAAAGACUAUAGUAUUUCAAGUAUUAAAGUGGGACGGAGUUCACACCUCG
This 64-nucleotide transfer RNA is filed under the name Calyptogena rectimargo. RNAcentral describes it as "tRNA-Trp". Lineage: Eukaryota; Metazoa; Mollusca; Bivalvia; Venerida; Vesicomyidae. The record is from RNAcentral.